UAGUCCACGCCGUAAACGAUGGAUACUCGGUGUUGGUCCUCUAUUAUUGGAGCAGCGCCUAAGCUAGCGCAUUAAGUAUCCCACCUGGGGAGUACGAUCGCAAGGUUGAAACUCAAAGGAAUUGACGGGGGCCCGCACAAGCGGUGGAGCAUGUGGCUUAAUUCGAUGCAACGCGAGGAACCUUACCUGGGCUCGAACACUACCGGACAACCCUUGAAAGGGGGUCUUCUUCGGACUGGUAGUGAGGUGCUGCAUGGCUGUCGUCAGUUCGUGUCGUGAGAUGUUGGGUUAAGUCCCGNAACGAACGCAACCCCUAUCGCUAGUUACCAGCGGGUAAUGCCGGGGACUCUAGCGAGACUGCCUGCGCAAGCGGUGAGGAAGGUGGGAUGACGUCAAGUCAUCAUGGCCUUUAUGCCUAGGGCUGCACACGUGCUACAAUGGUCGGUACAACGGGCUGCCACUUCGCGAGAAGGAGCUAAAUCCUAAAAAGCCGGCCUCAGUUCGG
This 505-nucleotide ribosomal RNA is filed under the name uncultured bacterium. RNAcentral describes it as "bacterial SSU rRNA". It matches the Rfam family "Bacterial small subunit ribosomal RNA", at positions 791 to 1296 of the family's 1533-position model. The record is from RNAcentral.